This is a long non-coding RNA of Anguilla rostrata (American eel), 142 nucleotides long. RefSeq lists it as uncharacterized. The transcript has 3 exons. The record is from RefSeq and is a predicted model, not a curated record. Lineage: Eukaryota; Metazoa; Chordata; Actinopteri; Anguilliformes; Anguillidae.
UCAGAAUGCUUCUGCUCUACAUGUCACAGUGCAAAGAGGUCAGUCACUGAUCGCGGCUGCAGCUGUGGGAGUGGCUGCCAUUUUGGCUCUUGUGUUUCUGGGUGUUGUGUGCGUGAGGAGGAGAAAAUCAACAAAUGAGACA